UCCAGGAAAGACCAGUCUAUGUCAGGAGCAAGUUGCGGUUCUACUGCAGCCCCUACUUCAAAAGACACUCCCCUCACCUCCUUGUGAGGAUGAAGAGAAGGGCGGGCAUUAAAUCUGCAUUAAGGCAGAAGAGGAGCCAGGCAGAAGCUCUGGGAUCCCCUCCAGCACUUACAGGCACCGAGCAACAAGAUCAGGCAUCUACAAAUGAGGAUAACGAAGAGAUGCCAAAGAGCCAAGAAGUUGACAGUCCUGCCACCCAAGUCAGGAGUGACUCUGCUCCACCAGGAAUUCCUGUGACAGUUCCGGAGCCCACCGUGGUGAGUGACGACGCUCCAAUAACCCAGCCAGCCGUCAGGCAGCCCGAGAGCAGCCAGGCCCACGUUACUCAGUUGGGGGAUGUCGCUGCACCUGCAGAGCUUCCCUGCGUCUUCUUCACUGUACCUUCCACCCAGAUUGAUUCCUACUGGCAUGUGGUGGGUGUCCCUGCGACGCCCCCCAGGAUUCUCAACGUGCACACCACACAGUUUCCUUUGCCUGGACUGCUGCCUUUCUCUCAUCACUUGGUGGCUCUGCCUGUCAUGGCUGCUGGGCCUGCUGCCUCCGUCUCUGCGUUGCCUCACCCUCCAACACCAGUCCAUUUCUGUCCCAACUGCCAUUGUGUGUUAGAAUUCAUGCCAGGCACUGGUGGGAUCCAGGGGUACCCAGACCAUGCAGACUAGCACGGGUAAGGAAAGAAUUUGGUGACAACAUGUCCUGGUCAAUAAACAGGAUCAGAAAAUGAGUCAUUUUUUGUCUGCACGAAA
Long non-coding RNA from Galeopterus variegatus (Sunda flying lemur), 803 nucleotides. RefSeq lists it as uncharacterized. The transcript is spliced from 2 exons. Lineage: Eukaryota; Metazoa; Chordata; Mammalia; Dermoptera; Cynocephalidae. The record is from RefSeq and is a predicted model, not a curated record.